Molecule: long non-coding RNA, 4528 nt
Organism: Ostrinia nubilalis (European corn borer)
Lineage: Eukaryota; Metazoa; Arthropoda; Insecta; Lepidoptera; Crambidae
Exons: 2
Source: RefSeq, a predicted model, not a curated record
CGCGCCCGCGCCGCAAGCCGCGCCCCCCGCGCUCGUCAAGCACGACUCCUACCCGCAGUAUCCCAAGAACCGGCGCUCGCGGACGCAGGACCACGAGGUGGGCUCGCUGCUCAUCCGCGCCGUCACUCUGGUGGAGCGGCCCGAGGCGCCGGCGCAGGCGCGCGCGUCUCACACGCCCGCCGUGCGCGCCGGCCCGCCGCUCAGCUGCAACUUCUGCUGGAACACCGUGGACGAGUGCGGCCGCAUCCUGCGCCGCAAGACCCAGUACCACUGUCCCGAGUGCCGCACCAACCUCUGCAUCGUGCCCUGCUUCCACGAGUACCACGACGGGCCCGAGGCAGACGCCCCGAGCGCCAGGUGAACGCCCCGCUCGGCCCUCGCGGACUCACAGCUACCAAUCCGACGCGAGAGCUUGGCAUUCUCAGCCAUCUCAACUGACGUCAACACAAAAAUAUUGCUUAAACCAUCUCCCUAAAUUAACGGGAAAUUAAGUCAUAGGCAAAUCUAACAAUUUCCAUGUCUUGUUUUGGAAUGUUUUCAUAUUCAUUCGGAUGAUGAUUUGACAUCGGGAAACGUACAAUUUCUAUGCUAGAGGGAAUGAUAAACAUUUUAAAAUUAUCAAAAUAACCAACUUUUUGGACUAAUUUUAGUAGCUUUUCUAGGUGUUAUUGAAUAACUCGAUUGAGUAUUAUGAAGUAUUUCAAUUUCCAGUACAUUGUAUGUACUAUACUUUUUCAUAUUGCGCGCGUGUCGUGUAUAUUAAGGAGUAUGCCUUUAAGAUUUGUCUCUUGCUAUGAUUGAGGACCUAAUCCCGCGAUGGAGCAUUGAUAUUGAUAUACCUACAAAUUGAAUUUGAUAUGUUUUUACACGUGUUAUAAUGUACUGUCUGAGGAUGCAGGCCAACUCAUUCGUCCAGUUUGGAUAUUUAAAAUGUUUUUGAUGUAAUUAAUGCUCGAACAGUUAAUUGCGGGUGGGUCCCAGCUUAAAGCUGAUUGUAAAUAGUAGCCUGAAUUAGGAGUAAUUUGACGUUUUUGAAACGUGUGUUAGCUCGUAAGUAAAAUGAGAGUUUUGAAGCGCACUAAACUGAAAAGCCAUAACAUUGAGAUAUAUUUAAAAAUUGAUAACACGUUAUCGAAGGAUCUUGUGAGUGUGCAAUUUAUGAAAAUAGGUAUUUACAAAUACAGAAUAUUUUUUUUUCUUAUAAAUGAAAAUAGCACAUUUUAUGGUAUGGAGCUAUAUUUUUAUAUUGCAGAGUAUACGUGUACCUACUGUACAAGCUAUGAAUUCGAUAUUGCCAAUAUUUAAUAAUAUUACCAUUAAGGUUCUGUGAUGAUAUUGUGGCUUGAUUAGGUGCCAGAGUGUGAAUGUCUUUAAGAUGUUAUUGUUAGAAUAGGAGCACUUUUUGAUAAAAAUAUAAAAGCUAUAUUAACUACAAAGUUACAAACACGGAAGCAAUCUAUUUUCAACAAAUACCGUAGCGUUUAUUAAAAUAAUAUUGUAUAUAAAGUGUAUCUAUAUGACAUGCCAAUAUUGGACCCCAAGCGAGAAUGAUAUUUGUAUUUUUGUAUAGCACACACUAUGUAGUAGCAUAUUACUAGUGUGAAAUUUCAAGCUUUGACAGCGAUUUUCUGGUAAUUUUUUAUAACAAGAAUUUAAAUAAUGUUGAUUGGAUAGCGCAUUUUCGUGCUAAACUUUCAAAUGUUAAGUUUAGAGCAUUUGUGGUACAAAUCUUGUGCAUCAAAGGUUUCAAAAAGAAGGCAAUGAGGUGCCCUCAGUUAUUGUAAUGAUUAAAUAAUACAGAUUUUCCAAAUUGCUCGUAAUGGCAAAAGUUUUUGAUCUUCUUCGAUCUUCUGUAUUAAUUAAUUAAUUACUUCUUUGAAGCCGGAAGGCAUGUAUCUAUAAUUUAAAUAUUUAUAAACAUCCAUUUUUUUCUGUAGGUGCUGUUUUCUACCUCUUCCUAAGCGGUGCUUAAUUUAUAUUGUACAUUUUCCUUCAUUUUCCCGAAGUAUUAUACUUAAGUUUAAGAUAUUCUAUAUUAUGAGCCAUGACAAAGGCAUUUUGAGUAUUUUACUUUGUACAGGGUGUUGUUGGCAAAAUGAUGACUUGCUAACGCGUACCUCAAGCGGUUAUAGCAUGGCAUAUGUCAAUCAAAUUAAGUAUUCUUUAUUCUUCAGCAUAUAAUAAUAUUAGGUAGUUUAUAUUACGUCUAUAAUUUAUUCAAACAUUAAUUGAAUGUAGAACUAUAUUACAUUACCGUGCAGACAUGAAAUACGAGCCUUAUUAUUUUAUUCUUUCAUGAAACUCAACUAAAUAGAAUUAACAAACUCGCUUGGCUACUAGGGAAUGACAGACAUGACAAAAACUAUUUUUAGAUUUGCUAUUUCUAAAUUAUUUAAGUAUCGAUGUCUAUGCUCAAAUUAAAUUAUUAUCACUUAAUUUUUGUUUCAAAAGAAACCCUAUUUAGGGUUCCAUAUUUUCAAUGUAUUAAUGAGAAGGAUAAAAAUGAUGGUAUUUUGGAACUAACGUACAAAAUAUAGGUUAAAGUUAGUUACACCAUGUACAAAAUGUAACUUCUAAGCAAUCAUUUAACAUUUUCAAUUUGAAUAAACAGAAUACUACAUUAUUAUACAAUUUUAAUAUAUCCGAUAUUGUAAAGAUGACGUGAGUUAUAUUUUUGUAAAUUAGAGUGAACGUGAAGAGUGACUAUUUAUAAAAAAAUAACAUAAUAUGAAUAAAAGUUUAAAAUUGAUAUAAAUAUACCUAUUGUGUAGUAAUAAUUGUUAAAAUUGGAUGACAUAUCAGUCAAAGAAUGAUUAUAGAAAAAUAAAUACAUAAAAAUUUGGUAAAAUACUUGGCGUUAAAACAGAUUUAUACCUACCUGUUGUUGAAAACUUUGGAUGUUGUUAGAUGUUUUGAUAUAUUUGGUUUGGUAGUCAGACUUUUGUACGAAAAUGUGUAGUUAAAAGAACGCUUGAGUUGCUAUGUAGUUUACAGCAGUUUUGCAGUCUUAAGCCCUAAUCAUAUUUUGUCGUGGGUAGUGCCAGAGUAAAUACAAAUGAGUAGGUCAUCUUCAUAUAAACGCACCGAGCGCGGUUUCACGCACGCACACACUGACAAAAUUCGGCGCACCUCACCGCUAAUCCACGCUAAAUUUUGUCAGUGUGUGCGUGCGCGCCGCAUACGUAUUGGCGCGCUCACAUACAAACCGCGCUCGGGCGUUUCUAUGAAGAUGACCUACUCAUUUGUAUUUACUCUGGUAGUGCUCUACAUUUGGACUGGAAACGUCGCGUGCACGAAGCAUCCGUGUUAUUCAAAUAAAAUAUUUGACUUUUUGGACAAGCCAUGGUUAUGUAAGCAAAGUUUAGUGAGCAAGAAGUAAAAAAAUAUGUAUAUUGUGUGUUCGUCUUGGUAGAUCUCGAGGUAACAUGGGUUUGCCAUAGUUUAUUGCUUCGACUUGCCUCAAUUCGUCUGAGGAAAUAUAAUAAUUUCGAGUUUAUAUAAAUAUAUCUUAUUGAUUUGGAGGGUGAGUCGAGUUGAGGUAUCGUCAAUAGGAGGUAUUUCUCACUCAUACUUGACACCAAAAUCGCUGACAACGAUAAUAUUGUAUAGUCGAUAAUGUUUAGAACUAGUUAGUUAAGUACCCUGAUUUAUAUCUUUAUAAAUGUUGUUGAAAAUAAAUAUGUACCUAUGUGCAAUUAAAUACUUAAUGUUAUUGGAGAUUGAUGUUAGAGCAGUGUAGGGGUGCUUACAUGCUGGCAAAUGUUAGGAGUUUUUGUAAACUCUUCAUAUUAUUAUCACGUUCAGUUAAGCUUUCUUGGUAAACAGUAUUUAGCGAAGAGCGUUUAGCAUUUUUUUUUUCAAUUUUACAGAUUUUUUAAAAGUUUUGCAGAUUACUAUUUGAAAACAAGCUCAUGAAAGUGUCUGUUGGUACCUUGAAGCUGGCAGCGGUACCUUUCUUACAUGUUUGUUAUAAGGGAGUGACUAUUUCUGUAGUUUUCGGUGUGGAAUAUUCCAGCUUUGUAUGUAAGCACCCUUAACAAAUAAAUUAUUACCUGGAGUCUGGAACUCUGGUUGACUUAGGAAAUGUAUGUCCCUGACGUUUAUUGUAAACGGAUCUCGAUAAAAUGCAUACAUUUCAUUCAAUAUUUUUUCAUUAGAACAUGUGGCAAUUACUUGUAGUUUUAAAAAUAAUCUUCCCCUAUUGUUAGGUGGUUACGUAUGAAAUUGCUGUGUAGUUUUCAAUACAAAUAAGUAGUAACAUGGUAUUUAUAGGGAUAACGUGUAACUGUACCAGCAAUGUCAUGGGUAGGCAUCUAGUAAGAUCCUGUUUACUGUUUUAUAUUACUGGUUUAUCGAAAUUUUCAUAUUUCGUGGUAUAUAAUACUGUUACUGAAAGUUGUGCAAAAAUUUUCAAGACCUAAUAGCUCAUGUUCUAAAGAUAUUAUGCCAUAAUCUCGAAAAUAAUCUAUGUAUUUUCAUUGAGAGUUGAAGAAAUUUAUAUCGUUAUUCAAUAAAGUAUCUUUUCAAA